Molecule: ribosomal RNA, 515 nt
Filed under: uncultured bacterium
Lineage: Bacteria
Description: partial 16S ribosomal RNA
Rfam family: Bacterial small subunit ribosomal RNA
Source: RNAcentral
GAUGAACGCUGGCGGCGUGCCUAAUACAUGCAAGUCGAGCGAAUGGAUUAAGAGCUUGCUCUUAUGAAGUUAGCGGCGGACGGGUGAGUAACACGUGGGUAACCUGCCCAUAAGACUGGGAUAACUCCGGGAAACCGGGGCUAAUACCGGAUAACAUUUUGAACCGCAUGGUUCGAAAUUGAAAGGCGGCUUCGGCUGUCACUUAUGGAUGGACCCGCGUCGCAUUAGCUAGUUGGUGAGGUAACGGCUCACCAAGGCAACGAUGCGUAGCCGACAUGAGAGGGUGAUCGGCCACACGGGGACUGGGACACGGCCCAGACUCCUACGGGAGGCAGCAGGAGGGAAUCUUCCGCAAUGGACGAAAGUCUGACGGAGCAACGCCGCGUGAGUGAUGAAGGCUUUCGGGUCGUAAAACUCUGUUGUUAGGGAAGAACAAGUGCUAGUUGAAUAAGCUGGCACCUUGACGGUACCUAACCAGAAAGCCACGGCUAACUACGUGCCAGCCGCCGCAGUAA